AAUAACUUACAUCAUAGUAAUUAACUUAAUAAUUUAAUUGUAAAUUCCCUUUUUUAAAGUAUCGACUUUAUCGAUAACUUAAUCUUCGCGUCGAUAAUUCUUCAAAUUAUCGACGCGUUCCCAUCCCUAGCCAGCGAAGCGGUCUUUUGUUCGUGUCCCCACUAUCGCGGCAGCCCCACUCGGUGACCACUGGCUCUCGAUCAUUCGUCCACGGGCUACGGCACCGACUGCGCGUGACCCUACCUCACGGCAGUCCUCUAGGUGCCUAGCCCGCUCUAAAGUGUCGAAUGACCUAGACUUUACCAGUGGUACCUUGUGCGUGUCUUCCCCAAUAUCGGGGUCCAAGGUCCACGCUACUACUCCAAGGUCCACGCUUACCUCCACGGUACGGUUUACCUACUGCACGGAACUACCUACUUCUACGGCUCGCCCUCUACGUGCUGGUUCGGCAACCCCCUGCCUUCGUGUUGCUGACCACG
Non-coding RNA from Plutella xylostella (diamondback moth), 479 nucleotides. The record is from RefSeq and is a predicted model, not a curated record. NCBI's taxonomy places the organism in Eukaryota, Metazoa, Arthropoda, Insecta, Lepidoptera, Plutellidae.